UACAAGCUGCAUUGUUCGUAAUAGUAUUAAGUUUUAACCUUUAAGCUGUAAUAGGGAGUUUUAGAUUGAGUAAGGACUGGCAAGCCUCUUAGCUAGGAGGACAUACAUGAGCGACUCUGCGAACACCCACUUUUAGGAGUGGUGGUUUAAAACUUUCAAUAUGAUCAACUUACGGCAAAGGCGGCUUCUCU
Molecule: non-coding RNA, 191 nt
Organism: Kurthia sp. 11kri321
Lineage: Bacteria; Bacillati; Bacillota; Bacilli; Caryophanales; Caryophanaceae
Rfam family: 6S / SsrS RNA
About the family: E. coli 6S RNA was the first non coding RNA to be sequenced, but its function was unknown until recently.
Source: Rfam